UAAACAACUACUCACUAAUCAUCUACAAUUGUCUAGGCAAUGAGGCAAAUGGAAAGACAUUAAGAAGCCAACAGUGAAUCAGCGACACAUAUGACAGCAGGAAAUAAGGUUCCUAGGAUGAGGAAAGACCUGAUGGAGGCAGAUGGAAAUCAGUACUUUCUGAGAAAGAACAGCAGUGGAAAAGGAUUGCCCAUUUCAUUUAUGCAGAAGGUGGAGCCACAGGAGGGAGAUCUGGAACAUUCCCAGCCUCUUGGAUGCAACAACUCAGUCUGCUGCUGGGGGCUGCUCUGCACUCCCGGUUUCACAAAAGACAUCAUCGAGAGAAGAAUUGUGAUGCCCUCAGCAAGACAUGAGUACACAGCUUGGAGCAGCCUCCUCUACCACAAAGCUACUACCAGAGUCAUCUAAAGAGUUUCUCUGAUAUAAAAAUAAAAUGUAUGAAGAACAAGCUUCUAAAUAUCUU
This 463-nucleotide long non-coding RNA is filed under the name Mus spicilegus (steppe mouse). RNAcentral's name for it is "lncRNA (ENSMSIG00000017568.1)". Lineage: Eukaryota; Metazoa; Chordata; Mammalia; Rodentia; Muridae. The record is from RNAcentral.